This 775-nucleotide ribosomal RNA is filed under the name uncultured Neocallimastigales. RNAcentral's name for it is "partial large subunit ribosomal RNA". It matches the Rfam family "Eukaryotic large subunit ribosomal RNA", at positions 22 to 635 of the family's 3401-position model. The record is from RNAcentral. Lineage: Eukaryota; Fungi; Neocallimastigomycota; Neocallimastigomycetes; Neocallimastigales.
AUAUCAGUCAUGCAUAGCAUAUCAAUAAGCGGAGGAAAAGAAACUAACAAGGAUUCCCUUAGUAACGGCGAGUGAAGCGGGAAGAGCUCAAAUUUGAAAUCUUCAAGGUUUUACCUUGACGAAUUGUAGUUUAAAGAAGUGUUUUCUGUUGAAGUUUUGGUAAAAGUUCUUUGGAAUAGGACAUCAUAGAGGGUGAGAAUCCCGUAUUUGACCAUUAUUUUCAGCUGUGUGAUACACUUUCAAAGAGUCGGAUUGUUUGGGAAUGCAGUCCAAAAUGGGUGGUAAAUUUCAUCUAAAGCUAAAUAUUGGCGAGAGACCGAUAGCGAACAAGUACCGUGAGGGAAAGAUGAAAAGAACUUUGAAAAGAGAGUUAAACAGUACGUGAAAUUGUCAAAAGGGAAGCGUUUGACACCAGUGUUGUUUUCUCGAAAAUCAAUUAAAAAAAGUUGGAUUUUGUGUUGUAUUGACCUUAACAGCUUUCUGCACUCUUUUCCUGUUUUUUUUAAUGCACUUUUCGUUUAACAAGUCAACAUCAGUUUCUUUUGUUGUAAAAGGGUCAUUGGAAGGUGGCUUUCUUUUCGGAGAAAGUGUUUAUAGCCUUUGAUCUCUGCAAUCGGAGAGACUGAGGUCUGCAGCGUAGAUCCUUCGGGGUUAGAUACAUUUGUGCUAAGUUAUAACCUUUCAUAGACAACUUGUUGACUAUGUUUUAGUCAUGUAGCUUACUCGCUUAUGCUAUUUUACCUACGCUUAGGAUGUUGAAGAUGUAGCACAUCAU